This 386-nucleotide long non-coding RNA is filed under the name Calidris pugnax (ruff). RNAcentral describes it as "lncRNA (ENSCPUG00000004495.1)". Lineage: Eukaryota; Metazoa; Chordata; Aves; Charadriiformes; Scolopacidae. The record is from RNAcentral.
CAAAUGAUUGAAGAUAACUUGUGCUGUGAUAUUGUCCUACCUACUUCUGUCUUCAGAUGAAGAGUUCUGAAUAUGAUCCUCUGCUCACCAGUCUGAUGCUGACUGGUGCCCACAAGAUUCUCCAAUCUGAGAACAAGAGCCCCCUGAAGUCAAGCAUGGUGUCCUGUGUGGCCACAAAGGGGAAAAGAAUAUUUAUGAAAAGUCAGUGCCUUAAGGUUGCCUUAUUUUUGCACCAGUCUGAAUUCAAUUGUUGUGCCUCCCUCAGAGAUUUUCCAGCAAAGGCAACGUCUGUGACCCGUGGCAUGAGCAGCUCUGAUGGGAGGAGAGCCCACCCGCACCAACAUUUUGUCCUCAGAAAGAUACUGCAAGGAAACAUGAAUACAGAU